GACUACUGGGGUAUCUAAGCCUGUUCGCUCCCCACGCUUUCGUGCCUCAGCGUCAAUAUAGGUCCAGUCAGCUGCCUUCGCAAUCGGUGUUCCAUGACAUAUCUAAGCAUUUCACCGCUACAUGUCACAUUCCGCCAACCUCAACCUCAUUCAAGCUCUGCAGUAUCAAUGGCAAUUCCAUGGUUAAGCCACAGCCUUUCACCACUGACUUACUAAGCCGCCUACGCACCCUUUAAACCCAGUGAUUCCGGAUAACGCUUGCACCCUCCGUAUUACCGCGGCUGCUGGCACGGAGUUAGCCGGUGCUUAUUCUUCUGGUACCGUCAGUUCUCGAUAAAUCGAGCUUUUUCGCCCCAGACAAAAGAAGUUUACAAGGCAGAGCCCCUUCAUCCUUCACGCGGGAUGGCUGGUUCAGAGUUUCCUCCAUUGACCAAUAUUCCUUACUGCAGCCCCCCGUAGG
This 460-nucleotide ribosomal RNA is filed under the name uncultured Sphingobacteriales bacterium. RNAcentral's name for it is "partial 16S ribosomal RNA". The record is from RNAcentral. Lineage: Bacteria; Pseudomonadati; Bacteroidota; Sphingobacteriia; Sphingobacteriales.